GCUUACGGCCAUACCACCCUGAAAGCGCCCGAUCUCGUCUGAUCUCGGAAGUGAAACAGCGUGGGGCCUGGUCAGUACUUGGAUGGCAGACUGCCUGGGAAUGCCAGGUGCUGUAAGCU
Molecule: ribosomal RNA, 119 nt
Organism: Sphaeramia orbicularis (orbiculate cardinalfish)
Lineage: Eukaryota; Metazoa; Chordata; Actinopteri; Kurtiformes; Apogonidae
Source: Ensembl